ACCGGGGCUAAUACCGGAUGGUUGUUUGAACCGCAUGGUUCAAACAUAAAAGGUGGCUUCGGCUACCACUUACAGAUGGACCCGCGGCGCAUUAGCUAGUUGGUGAGGUAACGGCUCACCAAGGCAACGAUGCGUAGCCGACCUGAGAGGGUGAUCGGCCACACUGGGACUGAGACACGGCCCAGACUCCUACGGGAGGCAGCAGUAGGGAAUCUUCCGCAAUGGACGAAAGUCUGACGGAGCAACGCCGCGUGAGUGAUGAAGGUUAACGGAUCGUAAAGCUCUGUUGUUAGGGAAGAACAAGUACCGUUCGAAUAGGGCGGUACCUUGACGGUACCUAACCAGAAAGCCACGGCUAACUACGUGCCAGCAGCCGCGGUAAUACGUAGGUGGCAAGCGUUGUCCGGAAUUAUUGGGCGUAAAGGGCUCGCAGGCGGUUUCUUAAGUCUGAUGUGAAAGCCCCCGGCUCAACCGGGGAGGGUCAUUGGAAACUGGGGAACUUGAGUGCAGAAGAGGAGAGUGGAAUUCCACGUGUAGCGGUGAAAUGCGUAGAGAUGUGGAGGAACACCAGUGGCGAAGGCGACUCUCUGGUCUGUAACUGACGCUGAGGAGCGAAAGCGUGGGGAGCGAACAGGAUUAGAUACCCUGGUAGUCCACGCCGUAAACGAUGAGUGCUAAGUGUUAGGGGGUUUCCGCCCCUUAGUGCUGCAGCUAACGCAUUAAGCACUCCGCCUGGGGAGUACGGUCGCAAGACUGAAACUCAAAGGAAUUGACGGGGGCCCGCACAAGCGGUGGAGCAUGUGGUUUAAUUCGAAGCAACGCGAAGAACCUUACCAGGUCUUGACAUCCUCUGACAAUCCUAGAGAUAGGACGUCCCCUUCGGGGGCAGAGUGACAGGUGGUGCAUGGUUGUCGUCAGCUCGUGUCGUGAGAUGUUGGGUUAAGUCCCGCAACGAGCGCAACCCUUGAUCUUAGUUGCCAGCAUUCAGUUGGGCACUCUAAGGUGACUGCCGGUGACAAACCGGAGGAAGGUGGGGAUGACGUCAAAUCAUCAUGCCCCUUAUGACCUGGGCUACACACGUGCUACAAUGGACAGAACAAAGGGCAGCGAAACCGCGAGGUUAAGCCAAUCCCACAAAUCUGUUCUCAGUUCGGAUCGCAGUCUGCAACUCGACUGCGUGAAGCUGGAAUCGCUAGUAAUCGCGGAUCAG
RNAcentral lists this ribosomal RNA (1210 nucleotides) under Bacillus sp. (in: firmicutes). RNAcentral's name for it is "bacterial SSU rRNA". It matches the Rfam family "Bacterial small subunit ribosomal RNA", at positions 156 to 1352 of the family's 1533-position model. The record is from RNAcentral. Lineage: Bacteria; Bacillati; Bacillota; Bacilli; Caryophanales; Bacillaceae.